This 497-nucleotide ribosomal RNA is filed under the name uncultured bacterium. RNAcentral describes it as "partial 16S ribosomal RNA". It matches the Rfam family "Bacterial small subunit ribosomal RNA", at positions 28 to 507 of the family's 1533-position model. The record is from RNAcentral.
GAUGAACGCUGGCGGCGUGCCUAAUACAUGCAAGUCGAGCGAACAGACGAGGAGCUUGCUCCUCUGACGUUAGCGGCGGACGGGUGAGUAACACGUGGAUAACCUACCUAUAAGACUGAGAUAACUUCGGGAAACCGGAGCUAAUACCGGAUAAUAUAUUGAACCGCAUGGUUCAAUAGUGAAAGACGGUUUUGCUGUCACUUAUAGAUGGAUCCGCGCCGCAUUAGCUAGUUGGUAAGGUAACGGCUUACCAAGGCGACGAUGCGUAGCCGACCUGAGGGGGUGAUCGGCCACACUGGAACUGAGACACGGUCCAGACUCCUACGGGAGGCAGCAGUAGGGAAUCUUCCGCAAUGGGCGAAAGCCUGACGGAGCAACGCCGCGUGAGUGAUGAAGGUCUUCGGAUCGUAAAACUCUGUUAUUAGGGAAGAACAAAUGUGUAAGUAACUAUGCACGUCUUGACGGUACCUAAUCAGAAAGCCACGGCUAACUACGUG